Molecule: ribosomal RNA, 769 nt
Filed under: uncultured bacterium
Lineage: Bacteria
Description: bacterial SSU rRNA
Rfam family: Bacterial small subunit ribosomal RNA
Source: RNAcentral
GCUGGCGGCAGGCCUAACACAUGCAAGUCGAACGGAGUUAUAUUGUAGCUUGCUAUGGUAUAACUUAGUGGCAGACGGGUGAGUAAUGUAUAGGAAUCUACCUAGUAGUACGGAAUAAUUGUUGGAAACGGCAACUAAUACCGUAUACGCCCUACGGGGGAAAAAUUUAUUGCUAUUAGAUGAGCCUAUAUUAGAUUAGCUAGUUGGUGGAGUAAUAGCCUACCAAGGCAAUGAUCUAUAGCUGAUCUGAGAGGAUGAUCAGCCACACUGGAACUGAGAUACGGUCCAGACUCCUACGGGAGGCAGCAGUGGGGAAUAUUGGACAAUGGGCGAAAGCCUGAUCCAGCCAUGCCGCAUGAGUGAAGAAGGCCUUUGGGUUGUAAAGCUCUUUUAGUGAGGAAGAUAAUGACGGUACUCACAGAAGAAGUCCUGGCUAACUCCGUGCCAGCAGCCGCGGUAAUACGGAGAGGGCUAGCGUUAUUCGGAAUUAUUGGGCGUAAAGGGCGCGUAGGCGGAUUAGUAAGUUAAAAGUGAAAUCCCAAGGCUCAACCUUGGAAUUGCUUUUAAAACUGCUAAUCUAGAGAUUGAAAGUGGAUAGAGGAAUUCCUAGUGUAGAGGUGAAAUUCGUAAAUAUUAGGAGGAACACCAGUGGCGAAGGCGUCUAUCUGGUUCAAAUCUGACGCUGAGGCGCGAAGGCGUGGGGAGCAAACAGGAUUAGAUACCCUGGUAGUCCACGCUGUAAACGAUGAAUGUUAAAUAUGGGAAGUUU